RNAcentral lists this unclassified non-coding RNA (251 nucleotides) under Lasiodiplodia citricola. Its description in RNAcentral is "partial contains 5.8S ribosomal RNA, internal transcribed spacer 2, and large subunit ribosomal RNA". The record is from RNAcentral. Lineage: Eukaryota; Fungi; Ascomycota; Dothideomycetes; Botryosphaeriales; Botryosphaeriaceae.
CGCACAUUGCGCCCCUUGGUAUUCCGGGGGGCAUGCCUGUUCGAGCGUCAUUACAACCCUCAAGCUCUGCUUGGAAUUGGGCACCGUCCUCACUGCGGACGCGCCUCAAAGACCUCGGCGGUGGCUGUUCAGCCCUCAAGCGUAGUAGAAUACACCUCGCUUUGGAGCGGUUGGCGUCGCCCGCCGGACGAACCUUCUGAACUUUUCUCAAGGUUGACCUCGGAUCAGGUAGGGAUACCCGCUGAACUUAA